CGGCGUGCUCGUCAUAUGGAACUUUCAUUAUUUACAAAUGGCUGCCACCAUUGAAACGUCAAAAUGUGUCCAGACUUGUUUUAGCUAAAGCGGCAUAAUAUGGACAGUAACUGAAGACAAACAUGCCAAGAAGAAAAAAGAAAUCUUCUCUUGCAACCAGACCAUCACUGGUUUUCACAGAGAGUCCUGUGCAUGUUCAGAAUAAUGUACCAUCUCCUGUACUUUGUGCAAGAUGUCCCCCCACAGCAAACUCGAUCCCUGUCGAUGAACUACACAAUCUGUCAUGGGUUUCCCCACAAUUUAGAAAUGUGAGACUCUCUGGUGGACAAGGUAAACGGAAACUAACAAGGCAAAGAAGACACAGUGUUGCUGGUCAUAGAAAUGUUGCCGCAUCAUAUUCAGACAAUAAUUCAUUGAAUAA
Molecule: long non-coding RNA, 421 nt
Organism: Ruditapes philippinarum (Manila clam)
Lineage: Eukaryota; Metazoa; Mollusca; Bivalvia; Venerida; Veneridae
Exons: 3
Source: RefSeq, a predicted model, not a curated record